RNAcentral lists this ribosomal RNA (499 nucleotides) under uncultured bacterium. RNAcentral's name for it is "partial 16S ribosomal RNA". It matches the Rfam family "Bacterial small subunit ribosomal RNA", at positions 28 to 507 of the family's 1533-position model. The record is from RNAcentral.
GACGAACGCUGGCGGCGUGCUUAACACAUGCAAGUCGAACGGGCCUGUCUUCUUUUUUGGGGGCGGGUUGAGUGGCGAACGGGUGAGUAUCACGUGAGUAACCUGCCCUUCGGUCCUGGAUAACCGCUUGAAAGGGCGGCUAAUACGGGGUGGUCCGGUUGGUCCGCAUGGGCUGGUCGGGAUAGAUUCACUGUUUUUGGUGUUUCGGCGGGGGAUGGGCUCGCGGCCUAUCAGCUUGUUGGUGGGGUGAUGGCCUACCAAGGCGGUGACGGGUAGCCGGCCUGAGAGGGUGGGCGGCCACACUGGGACUGAGAUACGGCCCAGACUCCUGCGGGAGGCAGCAGUGGGGGGUAUUGCACAAUGGGCGGAAGCCUGAUGCAGCGACGUCGCGUGAGGGAUGGAGGCCUUCGGGUUGUGAACCUCUGUUUCCGGUGGUGAAGGCCCUGUCCGUGUGGUGGGGUUGACGGUAGCCGGGGAUGAAGCGCCGGCUAACUACGUG